GAUGAACGCUGGCGGCGUGCUUAACACAUGCAAGUCGAACGGAAAGGCCCAAGCUUGCUUGGGUACUCGAGUGGCGAACGGGUGAGUAACACGUGGGUGAUCUGCCCUGCACUUCGGGAUAAGCCUGGGAAACUGGGUCUAAUACCGGAUAGGACCACAUUUUGGAUGGUGUGGUGGAAAGUUUUUCGGUUUGGGAUGAGCUCGCGGCCUAUCAGCUUGUUGGUGGGGUAAUGGCCUACCAAGGCGUCGACGGGUAGCCGGCCUGAGAGGGUGUACGGCCACAUUGGGACUGAGAUACGGCCCAGACUCCUACGGGAGGCAGCAGUGGGGAAUAUUGCACAAUGGGCGCAAGCCUGAUGCAGCGACGCCGCGUGGGGGAUGACGGCCUUCGGGUUGUAAACUCCUUUCGCUAGGGACGAAGCGCAAGUGACGGUACCUGGAGAAGAAGCACCGGCUAACUACGUG
Molecule: ribosomal RNA, 465 nt
Filed under: uncultured bacterium
Lineage: Bacteria
Description: partial 16S ribosomal RNA
Rfam family: Bacterial small subunit ribosomal RNA
Source: RNAcentral